GGGGAAUAUUGGGCAAUGGGGGAAACCCUGACCCAGCGACGCCGCGUGGAGGAAGGAGCCCUUCGGGGUGUAAACUCCUGUUGUAAGGGAAGAAGGCAGUGACGGUACCUUACGAGGAAGCCCCGGCAAACUACGUGCCAGCAGCCGCGGUAACACGCAGGGGGCGAGCGUUGUCCGGAAUUACUGGGCGUAAAGCGCACGCAGGCGGAUGCGCGCGUCGGCUGUGAAAUGCACCGGCUCAACCGGUGCACUGCGGUCGAUACGGCGCAUCUGGAGUGCGGGAGAGGGAAGCGGAAUUCCCGGUGUAGCGGUGAAAUGCGUAGAUAUCGGGAGGAACGCCGGUGGCGAAGGCGGCUUCCUGGCCCGCAACUGACGCUCAUGUGCGAAAGCCAGGGGAGCGAACCG
Molecule: ribosomal RNA, 405 nt
Filed under: uncultured bacterium
Lineage: Bacteria
Description: bacterial SSU rRNA
Rfam family: Bacterial small subunit ribosomal RNA
Source: RNAcentral